UACGGAGGGUGCAAGCGUUAUCCGGAUUCACUGGGUUUAAAGGGUGCGUAGGCGGGUUGGUAAGUCCGUGGUGAAAUCCCCAAGCUUAACUUGGGAACUGCCGUGGAUACUAUCAAUCUUGAAUAUCGUGUAGGUAAGCGGAAUAUGUCAUGUAGCGGUGAAAUGCUUAGAUAUGACAUAGAACACCAAUUGCGUAGGCAGCUUACUACACGAUCAUUGACGCUGAGGCACGAAAGCGUGGGGAGCAAACAGG
RNAcentral lists this ribosomal RNA (253 nucleotides) under uncultured bacterium. Its description in RNAcentral is "partial 16S ribosomal RNA". It matches the Rfam family "Bacterial small subunit ribosomal RNA", at positions 524 to 776 of the family's 1533-position model. The record is from RNAcentral.